This 449-nucleotide ribosomal RNA is filed under the name uncultured bacterium. RNAcentral describes it as "bacterial SSU rRNA". It matches the Rfam family "Bacterial small subunit ribosomal RNA", at positions 329 to 793 of the family's 1533-position model. The record is from RNAcentral.
CGCCAGACUCCUACGGGAGGCAGCAGUGGGGAAUAUUGGGCAAUGGGCGCAAGCCUGACCCAGCAACGCCGCGUGAAGGAAGAAGGCUUUCGGGUUGUAAACUUCUUUUAAGAGGGAAGAGUAGAAGACGGUACCUCUUGAAUAAGCCACGGCUAACUACGUGCCAGCAGCCGCGGUAAUACGUAGGUGGCAAGCGUUGUCCGGAUUUACUGGGUGUAAAGGGCGUGUAGCCGGGCCGGCAAGUCAGAUGUGAAAACCACGGGCUCAACCUGUGGCCUGCAUUUGAAACUGUAGUUCUUGAGUACUGGAGAGGCAGACGGAAUUCCUAGUGUAGCGGUGAAAUGCGUAGAUAUUAGGAGGAACACCAGUGGCGAAGGCGGUCUGCUGGACAGCAACUGACGCUGAGGCGCGAAAGCGUGGGGAGCAAACAGGAUUAGAUACCCGGGUAU